This 378-nucleotide unclassified non-coding RNA is filed under the name uncultured Actinomycetes bacterium. RNAcentral describes it as "uncultured actinobacterium contains 16S-23S intergenic spacer region". The record is from RNAcentral. Lineage: Bacteria; Bacillati; Actinomycetota; Actinomycetes.
UCCGAGUUGACCCCGGCAGUCUCCUAUGAGUCCCCACCAUCACGUGCUGGCAACAUACGACGAGGGUUGCGCUCGUUGCGGGACUUAACCCAACAUCUCACGACACGAGCUGACGACAGCCAUGCACCACCUGUGCACUGGUCCCGAAGGAAGGCCGUAUUUCUACGGCUUUCCAGUGCAUGUCAAGCCCAGGUAAGGUUCUUCGCGUUGCGUCGAAUUAAACCACAUGCUCCGCUGCUUGUGCGGGUCCCCGUCAAUUCCUUUGAGUUUUAGCCUUGCGGCCGUACUCCCCAGGCGGGGCACUUAAUGCGUUAGCGCCGACACGGGGGGAGUCGACACCCCCCACAUCUAGUGCCCAUCGUUUACGGCUGGGACUAC